GCCGGCGAGGAGGAAUGAACAAUAAAUACAAGUGAAAGCCUAAAGCCAAGAGCUUCGAGGCUGCCGUGCAAAUGCCCCUGCUCCCCAGCCCUGGUGGAGGGCGGUACUGAAGGAAAAAAAACAGAGCCGGAGUAAUGGGGCCCAGACGUUGCAGAAACCACAUCCCCUGGCUGGUGACGUCAAUGGGCUUUGGCAAAUGCCAAGGAGAGAACAGUCAAGCUGUCAACUUCCAUUACGAUUUAACAAGCACGCCAGAGUCUAAGCUGAACAGGAAAAUCUAGUAAGGAAAUCUACUCAAUGCAGAGGAAAAUAUAUAAUCUACAAGUUAAAAAUAAUCGCAGCACCUGAAAAGCAAUCAGCAGAUGAAGGCACAGCACAGAAAAUAAGAAAUUACAGACCAGUCCAGCUCCCGUGUCUGCUAACACUGCCGGCCUCAGCCUGUUGUGAAACUCUGGGGGCGUAUGAGAGAGAAGACCCUUAAGUCAAUGUAUGAUGGACAGAUACCGCCAACAGUCUGAGGACCGGAGGAAUUCACACAGAGUCAUCAGAGGUUUGAAAAGACUGAUAGUUUUUAAGCAGUUCAAACUUCAGAUCAUAAAAAUGUAACCAAGCAAAUUAACUUGAUAAAGCAAAAAAUCUUUUUAAAAGCAAAUGCAACAUUCUUACUGGAGUGCCAGUCAAUAAUAAAAUCUUUAAUGCCACCAACAAAUAAGAAUGCCCCAGUGAAGGCACCAGAAAUAGCUCAAUAGCAAGCAGUCAUCUGCGGGAACGAGCCACACUGAUCAGUCCCAGGAGGGAGCAGAGAAGGCCGGUCCUAUAGACACGUUUCCUUGCAGCUCUCUAGAAUUUAGUCUUUAUAUUGACUACCCAUAACUUUUCUCCUCUACUCUUACUAAUACAAUGAGUCACAUUGACUGUCUUCAAUGCUUAAAGCGAUCUUACAUUUCUGGAGAAAUCUAUCAGUCUUCCAGUACAUAACGGAUUCAACCUGACCUGCUCUUGGAAAUGUUCUGUUUGAGGCAGGCGUGACCUGACUAUUCUUUCAUAUCCACGUAGGCAGUGUCCAGACUAUGCUGGCCUUAGGAAUAACUCUAAAUGCAUCCUGCUUCCUCUACUUUGACUUUACUUUUCGUGGCACUUCCCAGCUAAGGUCUUUCCUUUCUCCUCUAGCGUCUUGGUUCCUUUCCUCAGCAGGCCCCACCUCAGAGCCCCUCCCGCCAGCCUCUGGUGUAAACAGUACUGCCACCCCAGCCUCAGGACGCCCAGAAGCCAAUGGGGCUGCCUUGUACCCCACAUGGCUGCUGCUCCAGCUGGAAAGGACGGAUACAAAAAGAAAAUGAAAGAUUUCAUUACUGGCAAGUUGUAAUUGCCCCGUUGCGGGGACACGUUUUGCCUCUUUUGCCAUUUUCCUGUUUUCUCUCAGACUUUGGGUUUCACGGUUAUGUUAUGAACCACCUAAGCACGCCUUUCUUUCAGUGGCACGCUGCUUUAGGCCUAAACUACUUCUUGGUCUGUGUUUUAAAAGGCGGCUGUUCUAGAACAAGUAGUUCUGAGUCAGUUGUUACAGCAGGAAGAAGGGACCCUCUGUGGCAGCCCCGGUGUCCUGUGCACUGCUCCUGGGUGUGCCGAGACUGGAAGGUCGCUCAGGUUUUUGCCAGCAUCUUCUCUUGGGACAGAUGCUACAGGCCACAAACACCCUGACAUAGCCCGUGCUUGGCACAUUGCAGUCAGGACCCAUUUCUAGCCUUACGAAGCACGUUGGGGUCUUUGAAGUCACUCAACCACAGAUGUUUCACCAGCUGUGCCUGCCCCAUGCACACUUGGCAGAAGCAUAAAGACCUACGUCUGCCCCUCCAACAGUGAGUGUCCAGCGGAGCCUGGUCAUCCUCUCCUCCUUUUUCUCAGAACCAGCACAUGACCCUUCAGGGGACAGGUGACUGACAAUGCCAGGUUCGUCUCUCCACCUCAUUUAUAUUCUAAAUUAUUUAGGAUGCCUUUUAUAUUUUGUCAAGUUUGGUUUCAUUUUUUUUAGAGUGUUAAUUUAUGUUACCAAACAUAACCAAAAGUUGAAUGAGCCCAAAACCAGACUUAACACCUUCAGUAUUUAAGAGUUUUGUCACUUGCUUUAUUUCCUUUUCUCCGCCUAUGAUCUACACACACACACACAUGCACACACAUGCACACACACAUGUACAUGUACACACGCACAUGCACACACACAUUUAUUUUUAAAAAGUCAUUCUAUGACCAUUUUUAAACCAAA
This is a non-coding RNA of Myodes glareolus (Bank vole), 2263 nucleotides long. The record is from RefSeq and is a predicted model, not a curated record. NCBI's taxonomy places the organism in Eukaryota, Metazoa, Chordata, Mammalia, Rodentia, Cricetidae.